Molecule: long non-coding RNA, 618 nt
Organism: Chinchilla lanigera (long-tailed chinchilla)
Lineage: Eukaryota; Metazoa; Chordata; Mammalia; Rodentia; Chinchillidae
Exons: 3
Source: RefSeq, a predicted model, not a curated record
GUAUGAAAUUAUUCUUGGCAUCAAGGGGGCAAAAUUACUUCUUUCCCCUACAUAGUGCAUGUGUUUAUCGGAAUUUCUGUAUUUAAUUCUGACUAGAUAAAGCAUAAAGAUCAGACUGGCUAUAAUGGAACCCCAGAAGGAAAGGAGAAUGAGGGAACCGGGCAGCCUAGGAAGUUGGCAGCGACUUCCAGACUCAGACCUGCUUUGACACCUGCAGCACUGAGCCUCAGAAAUCUACAGUGAUGCAGCAUGCUGCCAAAUGCCUGCCGCGGGUCCCCCCGGCAACUCCAAACUGGCUUUAAGUUUUGCUUUCCCUUGGCAAGAGGAAGCAGAGGCAUGGACUGACCCAACUGACCGGAUCCUGGAUGAGGACAACGCCCAGUGGGAGAAGGAACCAUGGAACUAGAAGACAGAGGAAGACUCAAAAUGUUGAAAGAAAGGAACAGUCAUCCCAGAAUUCUGUAGAUAGUGAAACUACACAUCAGAAAUAAAGACAUGAAGACAUCUACUGAUGAAAGAAAGCUAACAGAAGCCUCUGCCAGCCAACCAUCUCUCUUCCAAACUUUGUAAUUAAACUUUCAAUUAAAUCAGCAAUAAACAACAACUGAACAACCUGAA